CAGUAGCCGCGGGAAUACGGAGGGUGCAAGCGUUACUCGGAAUCACUGGGCGUAAAGGACGCGUAGGCGGAUUAUCAAGUCUCUUGUGAAAUCUAACGGUUUAACCGUUAAACUGCUUGGGAAACUGAUAAUCUAGAGUAAGGGAGAGGCAGAUGGAAUUCUUGGUGUAGGGGUGAAAUCCGUAGAUAUCAAGAAGAAUACCUAUUGCGAAGGCGAUCUGCUGGAACUUAACUGACGCUGAGAGACGAAAGCGUGGGGAGCGAACAGGAUUAGAUACCCCAGUAGUCCCUGUCUCUUAUAC
Molecule: ribosomal RNA, 301 nt
Filed under: uncultured bacterium
Lineage: Bacteria
Description: partial 16S ribosomal RNA
Rfam family: Bacterial small subunit ribosomal RNA
Source: RNAcentral